This 853-nucleotide long non-coding RNA is filed under the name Canis lupus familiaris (dog). RNAcentral describes it as "lncRNA (ENSCAFG00040025981.1)". The record is from RNAcentral. Lineage: Eukaryota; Metazoa; Chordata; Mammalia; Carnivora; Canidae.
GUCCAGCCCCGGAGAGAGAACCUUCGGCCGCCUCGGCCGCCUGCUGGAGCCGCCGCCGCUCCCGGGUGCCCCAGCCGCCCGCAGCCCGCGCGCUCCUCCUCGCCAAGUGACUGCGAGCUCCGCGCCUCUCCGCACUAUAUCCAGGCGGCGGCGGCGGCGGCGGCGGCGGCGGCGGCGGCGGCGGCGGCAGCAGCAGCGGCCGCCGCGGCGGCAGCAGAGCCGGGCGGGAGGGAGGCGGGGGCGGGGGCGCGGGCGCGGGCGCGGGCGCGGGCGCGGGGAGGGGGGCGCGGCCGAGGCGUAUCCCUCCGCGCCGCGCGGCCCCGGGAUUCGUCCGCAGUCGAGCUCGCAGCCGCGGGUUCGGCCCCCGGGGCCUCCGAGGACGGAGGCGGCCCGGAGCCCUGCACGCCGCCGGCUAGUCCGCGGGAGCCGAUGCCGGGGCUGCGGGCGGCCGCCGGGCCCGCGCUCUACGCGCGUCCGCACUUAGCCGGAGCGGGGCGCCGGGGGGCGGGCGGGCUGUUCCGCGGCCCUCGCCCCCCCGAGGGGAGCCCGUCCCGCCCGGGCCUCGCCCCCCGCCGACCCAUGGGCCGGCUGCCCCUCCCCACGCCUUCCCCGGUGCCGCGGCGGACGGGAGGCAGCUGUGCUCUAGUGUCCACACUGCCCGUCUCCUCCGGCUGGAGAGGGGAGGCGGAGGGAUGUGGACGCUGCCUCCCGUCCACGCGGACCCGCCGCGUUAAGAGCAGGUUUGAGCCACAAGAUGGAAAGAUGAUGGAUACUGAACUCCCAAUGCCAGGGUUUGGGUGAUGUAUUUGUGACACAAAAGGCCCUCGGUGUUUAAAAGUAAGUAACCCUUAAG